CGGCGGACGGGUGAGUAACACGUGGAUAACCUACCUAUAAGACUGGGAUAACUUCGGGAAACCGGAGCUAAUACCGGAUAAUAUGUUGAACCGCAUGGUUCAAUAGUGAAAGACGGUUUUGCUGUCACUUAUAGAUGGAUCCGCGCCGCAUUAGCUAGUUGGUAAGGUAACGGCUUACCAAGGCAACGAUGCGUAGCCGACCUGAGAGGGUGAUCGGCCACACUGGAACUGAGACACGGUCCAG
Molecule: ribosomal RNA, 244 nt
Filed under: uncultured Staphylococcus sp.
Lineage: Bacteria; Bacillati; Bacillota; Bacilli; Caryophanales; Staphylococcaceae
Description: partial 16S ribosomal RNA
Rfam family: Bacterial small subunit ribosomal RNA
Source: RNAcentral